Molecule: ribosomal RNA, 910 nt
Filed under: Lepiota geogenia
Lineage: Eukaryota; Fungi; Basidiomycota; Agaricomycetes; Agaricales; Agaricaceae
Description: partial large subunit ribosomal RNA
Source: RNAcentral
AGCAUAUCAAUAAGCGGAGGAAAAGAAACUAACAAGGAUUCCCCUAGUAACUGCGAGUGAAGCGGGAAAAGCUCAAAUUUGAAAUCUGGCGGUCUUUGGCCGUCCGAGUUGUAAUCUAGAGAAGUGUUACCCGUGCUGGACCAUGUACAAGUCUCCUGGAAUGGAGCGUCAUAGAGGGUGAGAAUCCCGUCUCUGACAUGGACUACCAGGGCUUUGUGGUAUGCUCUCAAAGAGUCGAGUUGUUUGGGAAUGCAGCUCAAAAUGGGUGGUAAAUUCCAUCUAAAGCUAAAUAUUGGCGAGAGACCGAUAGCGAACAAGUACCGUGAGGGAAAGAUGAAAAGAACUUUGGAAAGAGAGUUAAACAGUACGUGAAAUUGCUGAAAGGGAAACGCUUGAAGUCAGUCAUGUCAGCCGGGGAUCAGCCUUGCAUUUGCAUGGUGUACUUUCUGGUUGAUGGGUCAGCAUCAAUUUUGACUGCUGGAAAAAGGCUUGGGGAAUGUGACAGCUCYGGCUGUGUUAUAGCCCCUUGUCAUAUACAACAGUCAGGAUUGAGGAACUCAGCACGCCGCAAGGCCGGGUUUCGACCACGUUCGUGCUUAGGAUGCUGGCAUAAUGGCUUUAAGCGACCCGUCUUGAAACACGGACCAAGGAGUCUAACAUGCCUGCGAGUGUUUGGGUGGAAAACCCAAGUGCAUAAUGAAAGUGAAAGUUGAGAUCCCUGUCGUGGGGAGCAUCGACGCCCGGACCAAAACUUUUGGGACGGAUCCGCGGUAGAGCAUGUAUGUUGGGACCCGAAAGAUGGUGAACUAUGCCUGAAUAGGGUGAAGCCAGAGGAAACUCUGGUGGAGGCUCGUAGCGAUUCUGACGUGCAAAUCGAUCGUCAAUUUGGGUAUAGGGGCGAAGACUAAUC